GUGGAUAUAGCUCAGUGGUAGAGCACGUGCUUAGCAUACUCAAGGUCCUGGGUUCAAUCCCCCGUACCUCCA
Molecule: transfer RNA, 72 nt
Filed under: Camelus bactrianus (Bactrian camel)
Lineage: Eukaryota; Metazoa; Chordata; Mammalia; Artiodactyla; Camelidae
Also listed under: 2 other names
Rfam family: tRNA
About the family: Transfer RNA (tRNA) molecules are approximately 80 nucleotides in length. Their secondary structure includes four short double-helical elements and three loops (D, anti-codon, and T loops).
Source: Rfam by way of RNAcentral